Molecule: ribosomal RNA, 468 nt
Filed under: Acanthamoeba sp.
Lineage: Eukaryota; Discosea; Longamoebia; Acanthamoebidae
Description: SSU rRNA
Rfam family: Eukaryotic small subunit ribosomal RNA
Source: RNAcentral
GGCCCAGAUCGUUUACCGUGAAAAAAUUAGAGUGUUCAAAGCAGGCAGAUCCAAUUUUCUGCCACCGAAUACAUUAGCAUGGGAUAAUGGAAUAGGACCCUGUCCUCCUAUUUUCAGUUGGUUUUGGCAGCGCGAGGACUAGGGUAAUGAUUAAUAGGGAUAGUUGGGGGCAUUAAUAUUUAAUUGUCAGAGGUGAAAUUCUUGGAUUUAUGAAAGAUUAACUUCUGCGAAAGCAUCUGCCAAGGAGGUUUUCAUUAAUCAAGAACGAAAGUUAGGGGAUCGAAGACGAUCAGAUACCGUCGUAGUCUUAACCAUAAACGAUGCCGACCAGCGAUUAGGAGACGUUGAAUACAAAACACCACCAUCGGUGCGGUCGUCCUUGGCGUCUCGGUCCUUCACGGGGCCGGGGCGCGGGGGCGGCUUAGCCCGGUGGCUACCGGUGAAUGACUCCCCUAGCAGCUUGUGAGA